GAAAUUGAACUCGCUGUGAAGAUGCAGUGUACCCGCGGCAAGACGGAAAGACCCCGUGAACCUUUACUAUAGCUUGACACUGAACAUUGAGCCUUGAUGUGUAGGAUAGGUGGGAGGCUUUGAAGUGUGGACGCCAGUCUGCAUGGAGCCGACCUUGAAAUACCACCCUUUAAUGUUUGAUGUUCUAACGUGGAUCCGUAAUCCGGGUUGCGGACAGUGUCUGGUGGGUAGUUUGACUGGGGCGGUCUCCUCCUAAAGAGUAACGGAGGAGCACGAAGGUUGGCUAAUCCUGGUCGGACAUCAGGAGGUUAGUGCAAUGGCAUAAGCCAGCUUGACUGCGAGCGUGACGGCGCGAGCAGGUGCGAAAGCAGGUCAUAGUGAUCCGGUGGUUCUGAAUGGAAGGGCCAUCGCUCAACGGAUAAAAGGUACUCCGGGGAUAACAGGCUGAUACCGCCCAAGAGUUCAUAUCGACGGCGGUGUUUGGCACCUCGAUGUCGGCUCAUCACAUCCUGGGGCUGAAGUAGGUCCCAAGGGUAUGGCUGUUCGCCAUUUAAAGUGGUACGCGAGCUGGGUUUAGAACGUCGUGAGACAGUUCGGUCCCUAUCUGCCGUGGGCGCUGGAGAACUGAGGGGGGCUGCUCCUAGUACGAGAGGACCGGAGUGGACGCAUCACUGGUGUUCGGGUUGUCAUGCCAAUGGCACUGCCCGGUAGCUAAAUGCGGAAGAGAUAAGUGCUGAAAGCAUCUAAGCACGAAACUUGCCCCGA
This 765-nucleotide ribosomal RNA is filed under the name Salmonella enterica subsp. enterica serovar Braenderup. Its description in RNAcentral is "partial 23S ribosomal RNA". It matches the Rfam family "Bacterial large subunit ribosomal RNA", at positions 2038 to 2802 of the family's 2925-position model. The record is from RNAcentral. Lineage: Bacteria; Pseudomonadati; Pseudomonadota; Gammaproteobacteria; Enterobacterales; Enterobacteriaceae.